RNAcentral lists this unclassified non-coding RNA (20 nucleotides) under Mus musculus (house mouse). RNAcentral describes it as "oocyte_clustered_small_RNA9252". Lineage: Eukaryota; Metazoa; Chordata; Mammalia; Rodentia; Muridae. The record is from RNAcentral.
CGGCGGUGCCCGGGCUUCCG